UGAGUGCAGAAGAGGACAGUGGAACUCCAUGUGUAGCGGUGGAAUGCGUAGAUAUAUGGAAGAACACCAGUGGCGAAGGCGGCUGUCUAGUCUGUAACUGACGCUGAGGCUCGAAAGCAUGGGUAGCGAACAGGAUUAGAUACCCUGGUAGUCCAUGCCGUAAACGAUGAGUGCUAAGUGUUGGAGGGUUUCCCCCUUCAGUGCUGCAGCUAACGCAUUAAGCACUCCGCCUGGGGAGUACGACCGCAAGGUUGAAACUCAAAGGAAUUGACGGGGGCCCGCACAAGCGGUGGAGCAUGUGGUUUAAUUCGAAGCUACGCGAAGAACCUUACCAGGUCUUGACAUCUUCUGCCAAUCUUAGAGAUAAGACGUUCCCUUCGGGGACAGAAUGACAGGUGGUGCAUGGUUGUCGUCAGCUCGUGUCGUGAGAUGUUGGGUUAAGUCCCGCAACGAGCGCAACCCUUAUUAUCAGUUGCCAGCAUUCAGUUGGGCACUCUGGUGAGACUGCCGGUGACAAACCGGAGGAAGGUGGGGAUGACGUCAAAUCAUCAUGCCCCUUAUGACCUGGGCUACACACGUGCUACAAUGGACGGUACAACGAGUCGCGAAGUCGUGAGGCUAAGCUAAUCUCUUAAAGCCGUUCUCAGUUCGGAUUGUAGGCUGCAACUCGCCUACAUGAAGUUGGAAUCGCUAGUAAUCGCGGAUCAGCAUGCCGCGGUGAAUACGUUCCCGGGCCUUGUACACACCGCCCGUCACACCAUGAGAGUUUGUAACACCCAAAGCCGGUGAGAUAACCUUCGGGAGUCAGCCGUCUAAGGUGGGACAGAUGAUUAGGGUGAAGUCGUAACAAGG
This 852-nucleotide ribosomal RNA is filed under the name uncultured Lactobacillus sp. RNAcentral describes it as "bacterial SSU rRNA". It matches the Rfam family "Bacterial small subunit ribosomal RNA", at positions 642 to 1496 of the family's 1533-position model. Lineage: Bacteria; Bacillati; Bacillota; Bacilli; Lactobacillales; Lactobacillaceae. The record is from RNAcentral.